GCCGGUGUGGCGAAAUGGCAGACGCGACAGACUCAAAAUCUGUUAUACGCAAGUAUGUGUGGGUUCAAGUCCCUCCACCGGCA
RNAcentral lists this transfer RNA (83 nucleotides) under Methylacidiphilales bacterium. RNAcentral's name for it is "Candidatus Methylacidiphilales bacterium tRNA-Leu". It matches the Rfam family "tRNA". Rfam says of the family: Transfer RNA (tRNA) molecules are approximately 80 nucleotides in length. Their secondary structure includes four short double-helical elements and three loops (D, anti-codon, and T loops). The record is from RNAcentral. Lineage: Bacteria; Pseudomonadati; Verrucomicrobiota; Methylacidiphilae; Methylacidiphilales.